AGGAUGAACGCUGGCGGCGUGCUUAACACAUGCAAGUCGAACGGUGAAGGAGAGCUUGCUCUUUGGAUCAGUGGCGAACGGGUGAGUAACACGUGAGCAAUCUGCCCCUGACUCUGGGAUAAGCGUUGGAAACGACGUCUAAUACCGGAUACGAGCUGCGACCGCAUGGUCAGCAGUUGGAAAGAAUUUCGGUCAGGGAUGAGCUCGCGGCCUAUCAGCUUGUUGGUGGGGUAAUGGCCCACCAAGGCAACGACGGGUAGCCGGCCUGAGAGGGUGACCGGCCACACUGGGACUGAGACACGGCCCAGACUCCUACGGGAGGCAGCAGUGGGGAAUAUUGGACAAUGGGCGAAAGCCUGAUCCAGCAACGCCGCGUGAGGGAUGAAUGCCUUCGGGUUGUAAACCUCUUUCAGCAGGGACGAAGCGCAAGUGACGGUACCUGCAGAAGAAGCACCGGCCAACUACGUGCCAGCAGCCGCGGUAAUACGUAGGGUGCGAGCGUUGUCCGGAAUUAUUGGGCGUAAAGGGCUCGUAGGCGGUCUGUCGCGUCGGGAGUGAAAACUCAGGGCUUAACCCUGAGCCUGCUUCCGAUACGGGCAGACUAGAGGUAUGCAGGGGAGAACGGAAUUCCUGGUGUAGCGGUGAAAUGCGCAGAUAUCAGGAGGAACACCGGUGGCGAAGGCGGUUCUCUGGGAAUUACCUGACGCUGAGGAGCGAAAGUGUGGGGAGCGAACAGGAUUAGAUACCCUGGUAGUCCACACCGUAAACGUUGGGCGCUAGGUGUGGGACACAUUCCACGUGUUCCGUGCCGCAGCUAACGCAUUAAGCGCCCCGCCUGGGGAGUA
This 845-nucleotide ribosomal RNA is filed under the name uncultured bacterium. RNAcentral describes it as "bacterial SSU rRNA". It matches the Rfam family "Bacterial small subunit ribosomal RNA", at positions 26 to 882 of the family's 1533-position model. The record is from RNAcentral.